This 503-nucleotide ribosomal RNA is filed under the name uncultured bacterium. RNAcentral describes it as "bacterial SSU rRNA". It matches the Rfam family "Bacterial small subunit ribosomal RNA", at positions 28 to 523 of the family's 1533-position model. The record is from RNAcentral.
GAUGAACGCUAGCGGCAGGCCUAAUACAUGCAAGUCGAGGGGCAGCGCGGUAGCAAUACUGGCGGCGACCGGCGCACGGGUGCGUAACACGUAUGCAACCUACCUUCAACUGGAGGAUAGCCCGGGGAAACUCGGAUUAAUACUCCAUAACACAGGGAUCCCGCAUGGGAAUAUUGUUAAAGCUACGGCGGUUGAAGAUGGGCAUGCGUUCGAUUAGCUAGUUGGUGUAGGUAACGGCUCACCAAGGCUACGAUCGAUAGGGGGUCUGAGAGGAUGAUCCCCCCACACUGGUACUGAGAUACGGACCAGACUCCUACGGGAGGCAGCAGUAGGGAAUAUUGGUCAAUGGGCGCAAGCCUGAACCAGCCAUGCCGCGUGCAGGAAGAAGGGCCCCUCUGGGGUUGUAAAACUGCUUUUGAUAGGGAACAAAUGCCACUUGCGAGUGGAGCUGAGUGUACCUAUAGAAUAAGCACCGGCUAACUCCGUGCCAGCAGCCGCGGUAA